AGAGUUUGAUCAUGGCUCAGGAUGAACGCUAGCUACAGGCUUAACACAUGCAAGUCGAGGGGCAGCAUUGGAGUAGCAAUACUCAGAUGGCGACCGGCGCACGGGUGAGUAACACGUAUCCAACCUGCCGCUUACUCGGGGAUAGCCUUUCGAAAGAAAGAUUAAUACCCGAUGGUAUAAAGAGUUCGCAUGUUCUCUUUAUUAAAGAAUUUCGGUAAGCGAUGGGGAUGCGUUCCAUUAGAUUGUUGGCGGGUAACGGCCCACCAAGUCUACGAUGGAUAGGGGUUCUGAGAGGAAGGUCCCCCACAUUGGAACUGAGACACGGUCCAAACUCCUACGGGAGGCAGCAGUGAGGAAUAUUGGUCAAUGGACGAGAGUCUGAACCAGCCAAAGUAGCGUGAAGGAUGACUGCCCUAUGGGUUGUAAACUUCUUUUAUAAGGGAAUAAAGUGAGGGACGUGUCCCUUUUUGUAUGUACCUUAUGAAUAAGGAUCGGCUAACUCCGUGCCAGCCGCGGC
This 517-nucleotide ribosomal RNA is filed under the name uncultured bacterium. Its description in RNAcentral is "bacterial SSU rRNA". It matches the Rfam family "Bacterial small subunit ribosomal RNA", at positions 8 to 518 of the family's 1533-position model. The record is from RNAcentral.